Molecule: long non-coding RNA, 749 nt
Organism: Mus musculus (house mouse)
Lineage: Eukaryota; Metazoa; Chordata; Mammalia; Rodentia; Muridae
Product: RIKEN cDNA 9430083M05 gene
Exons: 2
Source: RefSeq, a predicted model, not a curated record
GGUGUGGUUGAGACAGAGUCUCACUCAGUAUCAUUCCUUAGACCAGGGCUGGCCUGGAGAGCACUGUCUACCCCAAGCUGGUCUUAGACUCAGCAUUCUCCUGCCUCAUUCAUUCGUCCAAAUUCUGAGAUUACAGGCAUGAACAGCCUUGGCUUUGUGAUGCUACGAACCUUUCUGCUCCGGCACCACGGACAGUUAAGUUCUCUAAGAAGUGGCUUUGCUUCUUCCUCCUUGGUGUUGAGUGUUGGCAUUCCCCACUCUUGCUUUAUUCUGUCAGUGGGAGCUGGAACAUUCCAGAAGCAGCGCUGAUAUUCAGUUAUUCCGAUACUUGCAGAAACCGCUCUCCUUCUCCCUCAUACUCCCCGGAUAACCCUCCUCAUUCGUCUGAGCCUCCACUCUUUAGAUAGGCUAUGGCGUCUGUCAAGCCCGUGGCUGGAAGAUGGCAGAUAUUCCAGAAUGGUUAUAAAUGCAGCCCAGAACACCUGAGAGCACAGGACCAUGCUUAUACUCGCUACAGUAGACUUGUGGGAGUCAGGUCACUUCCUUCACAAGAAGUCAGGUUGGGUGGCCUUGGGACGUUGCACUUGCUGCUGCCUCUGCUUGGAAUGUACCCUGGCCUCCAAAGUCUCAAGUUCAGUGCUCUCCUCUGCUUCUGAUACAUUAGUGUGGCCUGGAGCCCCACGCCCUCCCCACUGCUCUUCCUCACAUCCCUUGUAUUACAAUAUUAAAUAAUGUAAUUUAGCACAGUC